RNAcentral lists this ribosomal RNA (305 nucleotides) under uncultured bacterium. Its description in RNAcentral is "bacterial SSU rRNA". It matches the Rfam family "Bacterial small subunit ribosomal RNA", at positions 337 to 660 of the family's 1533-position model. The record is from RNAcentral.
CCCUACGGGACGCAGCAGUGGGGAAUAUUGCACAAUGGGGGAAACCCUGAUGCAGCGACGCCGCGUGAGUGAGGAAGUAUUUCGGUAUGUAAAGCUCUAUCAGCAGGGAAGAAAUGACGGUACCUGACCAAGAAGCCCCGGCUAACUACGUGCCAGCAGCCGCGGUAAUACGUAGGGGGCAAGCGUUAUCCGGAUUUACUGGGUGUAAAGGGAGCGUAGACGGCUGUGCAAGUCUGAAGUGAAAGCCCAGGGCUCAACCCUGGGACUGCUUUGGAAACUGUGGAGCUAGAGUGCUGGAGAGGUAA